RNAcentral lists this ribosomal RNA (515 nucleotides) under uncultured bacterium. RNAcentral's name for it is "partial 16S ribosomal RNA". It matches the Rfam family "Bacterial small subunit ribosomal RNA", at positions 28 to 523 of the family's 1533-position model. The record is from RNAcentral.
GACGAACGCUGGCGGCGUGCCUAAUACAUGCAAGUCGAGCGGACUUUCAAGAAGCUUGCUUUUUGAAAGUUAGCGGCGGACGGGUGAGUAACACGUGGGCAACCUGCCUGUAAGACGGGGAUAACUCCGGGAAACCGGGGCUAAUACCGGAUAAUAUCUUUCUUCGCAUGACGGAAGGUUGAAAGGCGGCGCAAGCUGCCGCUUGCAGAUGGGCCCGCGGCGCAUUAGCUAGUUGGUGAGGUAACGGCUCACCAAGGCGACGAUGCGUAGCCGACCUGAGAGGGUGAUCGGCCACACUGGGACUGAGACACGGCCCAGACUCCUACGGGAGGCAGCAGUAGGGAAUCUUCCGCAAUGGACGAAAGUCUGACGGAGCAACGCCGCGUGAGCGAAGAAGGUCUUCGGAUCGUAAAGCUCUGUUGUCAGGGAAGAACAAGUACCGUUCGAAUAGGGCGGUACCUUGACGGUACCUGACCAGAAAGCAACGGCUAACUACGUGCCAGCCGCCGCAGUAA